GUUAUAUGAUCAAGCGUUGAAGCGCAUAUGGUGGAUGCCUAGGCGAUAAGAGGCGAUGAAGGACGUUGUAGCAUGCGAUAAGCCUCGGGGAGCUUGCAAACUAGCUAUGAUCCGGGGAUUUCCGAAUGGGGAAACCCACCCGCUUGCGGGUAUCUUGCACUGAAUACAUAGGUGCAAGAGGCGAACCCGGGGAACUGAAACAUCUAAGUACCCGGAGGAAAAGAAAUCAACCGAGAUUCCGUCAGUAGCGGCGAGCGAACGCGGAGGAGCCCAAACCGGGCCGCCCCGUUUCGGGGGGCCCGGGGUUGCAGGGCCCCCCUGUGGGGGCGCGCGGCGCCUAGCCGAAGGGCCUGGAAAGGCCGGCCGGAGGGAGUGACAGCCUCGUAGGCGAAAGGCGGCGCGCGGCCCGGGGGGGAUCCCUGAGUACCGCGGGGCACGGGAAACCCAGCGGGAAGCUGCCGGGACCAUCCGGCAAGGCUAAACACUCGCUCCUGACCGAUAGUGGACCAGUACCGCGAGGGAAAGGUGAAAAGCACCCCUGCUAGGGGAGUGAAACAGUGCCUGAAACCGCGCGCCUACAAGCAGCGGGAGGGGCGCCCCCUGGGGCGGCCUGACCGCGUGCCUUUUGCAUAAUGAGCUGGCUAGUCGGCCCCGGCGGCGAGGUUAAGGAAGACCGAGCCGCAGCGAAAGCGAGUCCGAAGGGGGCGCGCAGUCGCCGGGGCCGGACGCGAAGCGGGAUGAGCUGCCCUUGGCCAGGGCGAAGCCCGUGUGACAGCGGGUGGAGGCCCGAACCGGUGUCGGUUGAAAACGGCUCGGAUGAGCCGAGGGCAGGGGUGAAAGGCCAAUCAAAUUCCGUGAUAGCUCGUUCUCUCCGAAAUAGCUUUAGGGCUAGCCUCGCGCGACGCGCGGCGGCGGUAGGCCACUGGCUGGACUAGGGGGCUUCGCAGCCUGCCGCAUCCAACCAAAGCGCGAAUGCCGCCGACGCAGGGCGCGGGAGUCAGACCGCGGGGGCUAAGCUCCGCGGUCGAGAGGAAAACAGUCCAGACCGCCGGCUAAGGCCCCCAAGCAGCGCUGAGUGGGUAAGGAAGUCAGUCCGCGACGACAGCCAGGAGGUUGGCUUAGAAGCAGCCACCCUUUCAAGAAAGCGUAACAGCUCACUGGUCGAGCGGGCCGGCGCCGAAAAUGUAACGGGGCUCAAGCGCAGCGCCGAAGCCGCGGGUCCCGGCCCCCCCUCGGGGGGCGCCGGGGCGGUAGGAGAGCGUUCGCGCCGCCGCCGAAGGCGGCCCGGGAGGGCCGCUGGAGGGGCGCGAAGCGACUCUGCCAGCAUUAGUAGCGAGAAGCCGGGCGAGAACCCCGGCCGCCGCAAGUCUAAGGGUUCCCGGGCAAGGUCGUUCCGCCCGGGGUCAGUCGGGUCCUAAGGCGAGGCCGCGAGGCGUAGCCGAUGGGCGCGCGGUUAACAUUCCGCGACCGCCAUGCCGUCGCUAUCACGACGGGGUGACGCAGGAAGCGAAGCGGGAGGGGCGAUGGAAGGCCCCUUUGGCCGUCUCGAGGCCGCCGGGCAGGCAAAUCCGCCCGGCGCCAGGCCGAGGGCGGACGCGAGGCCGCGAGGCCGCAAAGCCGCGUAGCUACACUGCCGGGAAAAACCUCUAAGGAGAGGGCAUGGCGCCCGUACCGCAAACGGACACACGUAGACGGGAAGAGCAUUCUCAGGCGCUCGGGUGAUUGGUCGUCCAGGAACUCGGCAAACUGGCCCCGUAACCUCGGGAGAAGGGGCGCCCCCGCGAGGGGGCCGCAGGGAAACGGCUCAGGCGACUGUUUAGCAAAAACACAGGUCUCUGCAAAGUCGAACACGACGUAUAGGGGCUGACGCCUGCCCGGUGCCGGAAGGUUAACAGGAGCGGUGAGCUUCGGCGAGGCCGCGAAUCGAAGCCCCGGUGAACGGCGGCCGUAACUAUAACGGUCCUAAGGUAGCGAAAUUCCUUGUCGGGUAAGUUCCGACCUGCACGAAUGGCGUAACGAUCUGAGCGCUGUCUCGACGACCAGCCCGGCGAAGUUGUGGUACCGGUGAAGACGCCGGUUACCCGCCAAAGGACGGAAAGACCCCGUGCACCUUGACUACAGCUUGGCAGCGAUGCAUGGCGUGGCGCGCGCAGCAUAGGUGGGAGGCUUGGAAGCCGCCCCCCCGGGGGCGGCGGAGCCGCCGUUGAGAUACCACCCUCGCGAUGUCGUGCAUCUAACCCGGGGCCGUGAAGCCGGCCCGGGGACACUGCCUGGCGGGUAGUUUGACUGGGGCGGUCGCCUCCCAGAAAGCAACGGAGGCGCGCGAAGCUCGGCUCAGGCUGAUCGGAAACCAGCCGCGGAGCGCAAUGGUACAAGCCGGGCUGACUGCGAGACCGACAGGUCGGGCAGGUGCGAAAGCAGGCCAUAGUGAUCCGGCGGUUCCGCAUGGAAGGGCCGUCGCUCAACGGAUAAAAGGUACGCCGGGGAUAACAGGCUGAUCCGGGCCAAGAGUUCACAUCGACGCCCGGGUUUGGCACCUCGAUGUCGGCUCAUCGCAUCCUGGGGGUGGAGCCGCUCCCAAGGGUUGGGCUGUUCGCCCAUUAAAGCGGUACGCGAGCUGGGUUCAGAACGUCGCGAGACAGUUCGGUCCUUAUCCUUGGCGGGCGCAGGAAACUUGAGGGAGGCUGCCUCCAGUACGAGAGGACCGAGGCGGCCGGACCGCUUGUGGGCCAGCUGUCACGCCAGUGGCACCGCUGGGUAGCGAAGUCCGGAGGGGAGAAGCGCUGAAAGCAUCUAAGCGCGAAGCCCCGCCCGAGACCAGGUUUCCCCGCGAGGGCACUCGCAGACGACGAGUUGGAUAGGACGGGUGUGCAAGCGCGGCGACGCGCUCAGCUGACCGUUACUAAUCGCCCCCCAGGCUUGCCCGC
This 2927-nucleotide ribosomal RNA is filed under the name Gemmatimonadota bacterium. RNAcentral's name for it is "Gemmatimonadetes bacterium 23S ribosomal RNA". It matches the Rfam family "Bacterial large subunit ribosomal RNA". The record is from RNAcentral. Lineage: Bacteria; Pseudomonadati; Gemmatimonadota.